GGAUAACCUACCCUUAGGACUGGGAUAACCCUGGGAAACUGGGGAUAAUACUGGAUAGGCAAUUAUUCCUGUAAUGGUUUUUUGUUUAAAUGUUUUUUCGCCUAAGGAUGGGUCUGCGGCCGAUUAGGUAGUUGGUUAGGUAAUGGCUUACCAAGCCUUUGAUCGGUACGGGUUGUGAGAGCAAGAGCCCGGAGAUGGAACCUGAGACAAGGUUCCAGGCCCUACGGGGUGCAGCAGGCGCGAAACCUCCGCAAUGUGAGAAAUCGCGACGGGGGGAUCCCAAGUGCCAUUCUUAACGGGAUGGCUUUUCAUUAGUGUAAAGAGCUUUUGGAAUAAGAGCUGGGCAAGACCGGUGCCAGCCGCCGCGGUAACACCGGCAGCUCUAGUGGUAGCAGUUUUUAUUGGGCCUAAAGCGUCCGUAGCCGGUUUAAUAAGUCUCUGGUGAAAUCCUGCGGCUUAACUGUGGGAAUUGCUGGAGAUACUAUUAGACUUGAGAUCGGGAGAGGUUAGAGGUACUCCCAGGGUAGAGGUGAAAUUCUGUAAUCCUGGGAGGACCGCCUGUUGCGAAGGCGUCUGACUGGAACGAUUCUGACGGUGAGGGACGAAAGCUAGGGGCGCGAACCGGAUUAGAUACCCGGGUAGUCCUAGCUGUAAACGAUGCGGACUUGGUGUUGGGGUGGCUUUGAGCUGUCCCAGUGCCGAAGGGAAGCUGUUAAGUCCGCCGCCUGGGAAGUACGGUCGCAAGACUGAAACUUAA
This 757-nucleotide ribosomal RNA is filed under the name uncultured archaeon. RNAcentral's name for it is "bacterial SSU rRNA". It matches the Rfam family "Archaeal small subunit ribosomal RNA", at positions 102 to 859 of the family's 1478-position model. The record is from RNAcentral.